Molecule: ribosomal RNA, 208 nt
Filed under: uncultured bacterium
Lineage: Bacteria
Description: partial 16S ribosomal RNA
Rfam family: Bacterial small subunit ribosomal RNA
Source: RNAcentral
CACGUAGGCGGACUAUUAAGUCAGGGGUGAAAUCCCGGGGCUCAACCCCGGAACUGCCUUUGAUACUGGUAGUCUUGAGUUCGAGAGAGGUGAGUGGAAUUCCGAGUGUAGAGGUGAAAUUCGUAGAUAUUCGGAGGAACACCAGUGGCGAAGGCGGCUCACUGGCUCGAUACUGACGCUGAGGUGCGAAAGCGUGGGGAAGCAAACA